UACGUAGGGACCGAGCGUUGUCCGGAGUUACUGGGCGUAAAGGGCGCGCAGGCGGCGGUGCUGGCCCGGCGUGAAAGCCCCCGGCUCAACCGGGGAGGGUCGUCGGGGACCGCACCGCUUGAGGGCGGUAGGGGCCGGUGGAAUGCCUGGUGUAGUGGUGAAAUGCGUAGAGAUCAGGCAGAACACCUGGGGCGAAGGCGGCCGGCUGGGCCGUCCCUGACGCUGAGGCGCGAAGGCGUGGGGAGCGAACGGG
This 253-nucleotide ribosomal RNA is filed under the name uncultured bacterium. Its description in RNAcentral is "partial 16S ribosomal RNA". It matches the Rfam family "Bacterial small subunit ribosomal RNA", at positions 524 to 776 of the family's 1533-position model. The record is from RNAcentral.